This 78-nucleotide transfer RNA is filed under the name Lusitaniella coriacea LEGE 07157. RNAcentral describes it as "tRNA-Ser". It matches the Rfam family "tRNA". Rfam says of the family: Transfer RNA (tRNA) molecules are approximately 80 nucleotides in length. Their secondary structure includes four short double-helical elements and three loops (D, anti-codon, and T loops). The record is from RNAcentral. Lineage: Bacteria; Bacillati; Cyanobacteriota; Cyanophyceae; Spirulinales; Lusitaniellaceae.
GUUUGAUUAGCUCAAUCGGUAAGAGCAUCCGAUGGAAUCUAUCGGAGAGAGUAGGUUCGACUCCUACAUCAAACACCA